AUUGAACGCUGGCGGCAGGCCUAACACAUGCAAGUCGAACGGUAACAGGAAGCAGCUUGCUGCUUUGCUGACGAGUGGCGGACAGGUGAGUAAUGUCUGGGAAACUGCCUGAUGGAGGGGGAUAACUACUGGAAACGGUAGCUAAUACCGCAUAACGUCGCAAGACCAAAGAGGGGGACCUUCGGGCCUCUUGCCAUCGGAUGUGCCCAGAUGGGAUUAGCUAGUAGGUGGGGUAACGGCUCACCAAGGCGACGAUCCGUAGCUGGUCUGAGAGGAUGACCAGCCACACUGGAACUGAGACACGGUCCAGACUCCUACGGGAGGCAGCAGUGGGGAAUAUUGCACAAAGGGCGCAAGCCUGAUGCAGCCAUGCCGCGUGUAUGAAGAAGGCCUUCGGAUUGUAAAGUACUUUCAGCGGGGAGGAAGGGAGUAAAGUUAAUACCUUUGCUCAUUGACGUUACCCGCAGAAGAAGCACCGGCUAACUCCGUG
Molecule: ribosomal RNA, 490 nt
Filed under: uncultured bacterium
Lineage: Bacteria
Description: partial 16S ribosomal RNA
Rfam family: Bacterial small subunit ribosomal RNA
Source: RNAcentral